CAGUUGGCAGUAAAUGUGGAACGUUGGUCCAAUAAACUUGAAAAAUAAAUCUUGCAAGAAUUGUCGGUGUUCAAGGUCCAAUCAGCAUAUAUGAGGACAACUGUGAAUCUUGAAAAACAUGGCCGCCAUUGGUCGAUCAGUGUUCAGCAGCUAUUAGACAAGGUUAAUGAAGGCCGAUAUUUCUUAAAAUUAUCUUCUUUUUUCUUUGAUUUAGGUUCUUAUAGGAUUGCACAAUAUUAACUAAUAUAUUUUAAUGUCUUUAAGGGCCAUAAACGGGUUGAACCCUGAUAAUUGCUGCUUGUAGCUAUAUUCUGUUUAUUGUUCCUUCCAGAUGGCACAGGGGUGAGUGAACGACCGAGAGGAGGAGUGACAUAUGUAAAUAUUCCCAUCAGCCCAAUGUCCAAAAAGCAGCUGCACUAUAUGGAGCUGGAGCUGCAGGAGCACGGUACCACCGUCAGAGGAAAAGGCACCACGAAAUACGCACAAAUUGACAUCACUGCAACAGAGACUGCACACAGAGUGGGUACCCAGCAUGCACUGGGGCGGGAGGCAGGACUUCAGAAAAUGGAACAGUGGAAAAGAGGAGGGGCACCGCAGUGAUGACAUCAUUUAUCACCUUAAUAAUAAUGAUGCCAUUGCUCUUUACCAUGACAACAGUGAUGUGAAGAAAAAGAGAAAAGUGUGUUGGAAAAGUGUCUCUCAGAAGAGAAACAGUGAGGAAUGUUAAGUUCUAAAAGUGCCAAGAUCUUUCCUCACGCUUCUGAUUUGGACCGCAGGUCUGUGUUAAAGGCUUCAACUCCACUUACUCACAGAGUCACAGGCCAAGCGAAAUCAAACUGAACGGGUGGCAUACGUGCCAGAAAAUCUGAUUGAACUGAGGCAGCCGAAGGCCCAGUUUUAUUAGCUGGUGUUGUGUAGCUAUGAGACUGUGAUCAUGUGGGUUUUGUUGUGUGGGUGUGUGUGUGGGUGAGUGUGAGUGUGAUAAUUCGAGCAUUAGAGCUGUGAGGACAGACCGUGUGAACAUGGCUGAUUAUAGAUGAGUCACCACACGCUCAGCUGCCUGCAGCAACAUGUCUCUUGUUAAUUUGCUUUAAUAUUUGCCCUUAAUCAAUUACAUACUCUAUUGUCCCUUAAUAAAGUAGUGGACAUCUCUGACCACGUAUAAGAGCUGCAAACACGGAACAGCAAAACAUUACCUACUGAGCAAAAAACAGACGGAUCCAUAUGAGGCUCACUGUGGACAGAGUAGUAAAAUUCUUGCAUUCUUUUUGCUAUUUUCCUGGUCAUGAAAAUAGCAGCAAUAUUUAUAAUCACAUCUGCAAGUGCCACAAUCGUAUUCCUUAUUUUUGUAUUUGUGGCUAUGGAAAUUGCCAUGUAUCUUCUUUUGAAUGAAUGAAGGGAAAUUGUGCAUAUACAACGUUGGGCAUUAUUAAAUAUUCAGACGAAUUUAACCAGCUUUUGAAUAUUGUAUAUUUCUUCUCUCAUUUUAUCGGCUUUAUACUAUUGUUUUAUAGUACAAUUAAAACUGAAAAUAUAUUUUUUGUAGUAUUUAUUGUGUAUUUCAUACAAAUUCUUAUUUCCCUCUUUACAUUGCUUUAAUUGUUUUACAGCAUGCUUAAAGAAAAACUUAUUAGCAGAAUGCUAAUGUUAACAUGAAUGAAAGCACGUGGAGCAUCAGAUUUUUUCACCCUUAUUCCCUAUGCACCUUUAGACCUUCAAGGACCACAUCUCCUAGCAGCAUUUUAGAGAGGAGCCACUCUUAUUCAGAAUAAUCUUUGCAUUGUUCAUUACUGUUGCACAGCUGGCAUUUACAUAUAUGCUGAUUGGGUCUCAUACGCAUGUCCGGAAUCACUAUUAAAACCACAGGAGGUCAACAGAGAUAACACCAGAUAUUAGAACAGGUUUGAAAAUGUCUGAGCAGGCUGCUAAGCUGAACUUUGGUGACAUGUAUUAACUGAUUAUCUGAUACAGGAAAAUGCUGCAUCAGUGAAGAUAACCUGUUCAUGACCUUGAGUUCUACUUGCAGUAUUUGGUAAGGUUAAUUUGUUCCCAAAUUUCUCAGUAUUGAGAUCUGAAUAACACAAUUUAAUGUAUAUUUAUAUUUGUUUGUAUAUUGGACGUUAAUAUACUAUAAGUGGCCGUAUAAAAUUGUACGAAAAAGUACAAUAAAAUCGUAUAAAAAGUCUUCAAUUCAGCAGGUCAUGAACAAGAUCUUGCAACAGCAUCCUUGACGUCAGUAUAGCCUUUUCUCUGUAAGAUAAAGAUCCACUUACUGCAAUGAUUUGUGUAUUUAUACCAGUAUCUUGUACAUGCAUGUAAAAUGCUACUCUUUCUCUUGAUUUAUGGAUGACUGACUGUUGACUGUAAACUAUAUGCAGUUCCACCUAGAGACUAUUUUAAAGCGAUGUUAUUUAUACACCGAUUAGCC
Long non-coding RNA from Ictalurus punctatus (channel catfish), 2428 nucleotides. Lineage: Eukaryota; Metazoa; Chordata; Actinopteri; Siluriformes; Ictaluridae. The record is from Ensembl.